RNAcentral lists this long non-coding RNA (845 nucleotides) under Meriones unguiculatus (Mongolian gerbil). RNAcentral describes it as "lncRNA (ENSMUGG00000020930.1)". Lineage: Eukaryota; Metazoa; Chordata; Mammalia; Rodentia; Muridae. The record is from RNAcentral.
CUUGGAGCUUGGUGUCAAGCAGGGCAGCCUUAUCUGCAAGUUGGAAAUCCGAGGCCCAGAGGCCAGGAGAGAGGGCGGCAGGGAUCAGAGGCCAGGCCUCCCAGGCUCCUGGAGCCCCUCAGAGGUCAGGGCGGUAAGGAACAAUGAGGCUCCCAUUCUGGAGGAGGAAGGAAAUCCCGUUGCCACCUAAUCUCUGCUCCUCUGCCUCCUCCCUGUUCCCAGAGCCUUUUCUCUAGAGAAGACUUCCAAGGCGUCUUUUGUAAGUACGAUGAUCUACUUUCACUAGGAAGAAGACAGACUCCCUUCCUGCCUCUUGCGCAGCAGUUCGUGUUUUUAUGAUCUUACCCCUACUUGGGAUGCUUAGAUGAUGGAAAACGCGUCUCUGGCCAAAGUUCUCCACCCUCCCAGUUUGGUCUCCUGGGAAAAGAGGUUUCAGCUGAUAAUUCGCUCGACAGAAUAACACCCGGAGGAGGUGCUUAGAUUGACCAGUCUCGGGGCAUUCUAGUCUAGCCUGGUGCGGCGGCAUGCACGCUGGCAGGCAGCCCUGGAGGAAGGAGCCUGCUUAUUCGCUUGGCGUGCUAGACUGCAGAGGUUGUAGCCGUUUAGAUCUUCAGUUUCUCUGUCUUGGCUACUCACAAUUUCAGGUGCUGAGGGCCAGCCGCCAUCAGCUUGAGGGGGUGAAUCCGGCAAAUGACAUGAAGGUUCUUCACGGCAGAAUCACUGCAGGGAAGCUUCAAAGGACUCCAUCUGCAGAUGUUCUGAAAAUCUCUGAGUCUAGAAAUUGAUUAUUCAACCAGGAUACCUAACUCAAGAAACUCUGAAGACUGAGGCAUUUUGUCAGCUUC